Petromyzon marinus (sea lamprey) is the source of this 2534-nucleotide long non-coding RNA. RefSeq lists it as uncharacterized. NCBI's taxonomy places the organism in Eukaryota, Metazoa, Chordata, Hyperoartia, Petromyzontiformes, Petromyzontidae. The record is from RefSeq and is a predicted model, not a curated record.
UGUUCUCCAACUCUGGCUACGGUCUGCAUGCGUAAGCGCUACGGCGUUAAUGCGACGCAGGGUGCAGCCCGCGGAGAUGACGCGAACUUUCAAGGGAGACCGUGGUAAUGUACACCCGUAAUAUGUCUGUUUCCACAACAAUUAAUUCGUCGCGAAUAAAUAUAAAUUGAGCGUAAACAACGUGCAGAACGGACGCCGACACUGCGUGUGCUACCUCUGGACCACCAGCUGUAAACUACCAUCACUACAAAGGAGCACUCCAUCUGCCAUUAAAAUGCCGUCUCCAUGGGUGCAACGUCUGGGCGUGGGUGCUCUCUUUCCAGCGAUCAUUAACCCCGCGCUCUGCAGCAACAACAACAACAACAAAAAUAAUCCAGCACCAGGGAGACGCCGCCGUGAUGAACAGCAAUUUAAAUCGCGGCGCGGACUGUGUUUGUGAUGGAACAAAGAAAAAAAAAGAGCGAGUCAGCUGUGCCGUGCGCAUGCAUCGCACCGCGAGUUGUUUACCGCGGGAUUUGAACCGUGAAAGUUGUUUUUCAUGCCGUGCACAUUCUAAAAGAGCGUCGAAAAAUCUCUGCUCGCGAAAGCGAUCGAUCGUGAUUUGUGACAUUUAAAAUAUCAGCAGCCGUGAUCAUCGUCGUCGUCGUCGUCCUCAACCAUGAUCCCUCCGCUGCUGGAUGAAGGACUCCCCAAGCUGCCGCCAAAUCUCGUGGUCUUCAUGGUCAGGCGACGCAACGAUCUAUCCCGCUGUUGCGCACGAGCUCAUUUCAUUGCGCGUAUUAAAACGUGCGAUUAACAUUCAUCGGCGCACAGUGUAGUUGUGGCGAUUUUCCGUAUUCAUGCACAAGUCCUGCUGCUACAUUUUCUGAGAUUUUUUUUUUUACAUUUACAAAGUACGACUUGUUAUGACUUUACAAAAUGCAACGCAGUUUCCUACGUUGGGCUGGCGGGAGGGGGGGAUAGCGCUCAUGUUUAAUGAUGGCAGCAUUCGACGGGUUUCCGACGCGAAACGCACUCUGUACCCAGCACCCAGCCCCUGCUUAUUAUGCGAGCUAAAUAAUUGACGACUCACCCAGCGUGGCGGUGCAUUUGAACUAAGGGUGAAUAAACCCGAUUUGCAUUGCAGUAUACCUGGCAGCUUGGAACACAGCAUCUCACUCAUCACCCCGCCGAUAGCCCCUAUUACCCCCCCCCCCCCCCAACAUACAUGCUCUGCAUCCUCUAAACUAGACAAAAACUAAACUCUCAGACGCAACUGAUUUAAUAAAUAGUGUAAAGUUGUCGGUGAAAGAAAGCAAAACAAUUAGCGAUUUAAGAAAACGAGUGUACAGUUGUUUUUGUCCAAUUUGUUUUUAUUUACUUAUUACAAACAGAAAUAUUUUUUUCAAAUUGCCAAUGUGUGAGUGCCUUUAUUUGUUACAUUGUUAUUCAAUUCCGUGUUUUACCAUUCCCCCAUAUACGAGGUGCAUUGCUGCAGUUGUAUCUCUCACGCCGCUGCUGAUGCGAGGGCCUCCGCUAGGACAGGCCUCUAGUGGCCCUCUAGACCAGUGGUUCUUAGCCUUUACUGCAGCCUGCACCUCUUUUGUUCUCAAUCGGUCAAACUAAAUAUAGAUAAUGUUAAGAAACACAUCGGUUUGCUUAAAUAAAGUGGUUGUACUUACGUGCCCGCGCUAAAUUUGUGUUUUCAAUUAUUUACCUUCUAAAAAAACACAUGGAAUGCCUCGCAUCCUCAGAAAGGGCAUCUCGCAUCCCCCCAGUGGGUGCAUGGACCCCAGGUGAAGAAGACCCACUGCUCUAGCUUGGUCAGACGUCUUGAAAAAUGUUCGAGUACCCACACUAGACCGCAUCGCACGCGACCUGCCUGACGACGUUUAAUAAUGCGACGACGGGAUAUUUUGACAGUCGUGCAGCAUUCUUUUACAAAGCCGUGGCUGGAGAGCGAACCGGCAAAUUCUGGGUUGCAAGUCCGACAUACUAACAACAACCAUUUGAGGCAGUGACAUGACCUCACGGUUGUUGCAGAGGUUCGCGGUUCCGGCCCAACAGGCUGCCCUGGUUAUUUCUGCGGGUAAAGUUAACCGUAAAAUAUGCGCCGCCCGAAUUUACGGUGGACGUUGAAGAUUCCAGGAUGUCAUUCACAAAGAGUAAGGCAUUUUGUGCAGGCGUCCACAUUUGUGAAAUUUGAAAAAAUUACCAGCAAAUUGCUCCUUUGGAUUACACGUGGCAAUAAUCGCCCCCUACCGGCAGACUAGUGCCCGAUUACAGGCCAGGUUGGCGAGUCAUCUUGUGCCCACAGGGUCGGCUGCCGCUGGGAAUGCCCAUUGACAUGUUUAAGUUGAGAUGUAAAGUGCUCUGAAAUUCCCUGGCCAAUAUGAGGGUGAUCUCUCUCUAUAUAUAUAGAAAUACAGUAAUUAUCAUAAUUAUUACAGCAGCAUCCCCUUAUGCAUAUAAACACCAUGCUUUUUUCACAAAAGAGCAGAAUCGUAAGCUAUAUAAAAAAAUAUAUAAAGACAAAUACAAACAUCCCCCGUAUA